AGCCAGGUGGUGUAGCGGUCAAGCAUAGGGGCCUCUGGAGCCUCGGACAGCAGUUCGAAUCUGCUCCUGGCUACCA
RNAcentral lists this transfer RNA (76 nucleotides) under Candidatus Jordarchaeaceae archaeon. Its description in RNAcentral is "tRNA-Gln". It matches the Rfam family "tRNA". From Rfam's summary of the family: Transfer RNA (tRNA) molecules are approximately 80 nucleotides in length. Their secondary structure includes four short double-helical elements and three loops (D, anti-codon, and T loops). Further hydrogen bonds mediate the characteristic L-shaped molecular structure. tRNAs have two regions of fundamental functional importance: the anti-codon, which is responsible for specific mRNA codon recognition, and the 3' end, to which the tRNAs corresponding amino acid is attached (by aminoacyl-tRNA synthetases). tRNAs cope with the degeneracy of the genetic code in two manners: having more than one tRNA (with a specific anti-codon) for a particular amino acid; and 'wobble' base-pairing, i.e. permitting non-standard base-pairing at the 3rd anti-codon position. Lineage: Archaea; Promethearchaeati; Candidatus Jordarchaeia; Candidatus Jordarchaeales; Candidatus Jordarchaeaceae. The record is from RNAcentral.